Molecule: ribosomal RNA, 249 nt
Filed under: uncultured bacterium
Lineage: Bacteria
Description: partial 16S ribosomal RNA
Rfam family: Bacterial small subunit ribosomal RNA
Source: RNAcentral
UACGAAGGGGGCUAGCGUUGCUCGGAAUUACUGGGCGUAAAGCGCACGUAGGCGGUCUUUAAGUCGGGGUGAAAUCCUGGAGCUCAACUCCAGAACUGCCUUCGAUACUGGAAGACUUGAGUCCGGGAGAGGCGAGUGGAACUGCGAGUGUAGAGGUGAAAUUCGUAGAUAUUCGCAAGAACACCAGUGGCGAAGGCGGCUCACUGGCCCGGUACUGACGCUGAGGUGCGAAAGCGUGGGAGCGAACGA